CCCUGGCCCCAAGUCCUCAGUCCUCACUUUUCUCCCGACGAUUCCCAUUCCCAAAUCCCUAACCAGUUUAGGGUUUUUUUCCAUCCGCCUCGGCGUGCGUAGCCGCCUCGCCAUGCUGGUCCACAAGUUGUCUAAGGUAAACUGUCGACAUCCCCUCCCCUCACAGCCUCAACUUCAAUGGCCUAUUUGCCUCUAUUUCCGACACCACCAUUUGCCUCAUCAUCAGUCAACCAUUGGCAGUCACCUCAUCUCCUCUCCUCUUUCCCCAGACCCCUCCCUGAGGCCAUUGCUCACUGUCAUUAACAACCAUCUCCUCUUUUGAGGCCGCCGCUCGCUGCCAUCGAGAGCCCCUUCCCUCCCCUCUUUGAGGUUGCCGCUUGCUACCACCAACAGCUCCUCCAUUUCCUCUCUGAUUUUGGUUGCUUACUGCAAGUUGUACCAGCUGAUUUGGUGAAAUAUGCGUGAAAAGUUUCCUCCUCUUGUUGCUGAUCAGGUGAUACAAUCCUUCCACAGUCACAAUGCAUUUAAGGAACAUAAAAUCUAUGCAUGAGAUUUAACUUUGAAGUGCAAAGCUUGUAUUGAGUUUGCGCUGAAGUUGAUUUGAUUGUUCAAAAGUGAAAGUAUGCUUAAUUAAUGUUUAAGAACCUCACUGUGCUCUAGAUAUUAGUUUUAAUUUUUCCUUUCUGUAUGAUUUGAUCACUUUCGAUCUAAGAAUACCUAUAGUUUGCUGCAUGAGAUUUGUAAACAUACUAGCAUUAUUUAGCAUAGGCAUGUUAUCUACUCUUUUGCACGGCAAAAACGGAGAUACCAGCCAUCCUUUCAUGUCAUAAUAUGUAUCUGCUACUUGCAGUAUUGGCCAAAAUGUAUAUAACAAGAUACAAGAGGCCUUUAUUAAGUGAUCAUAGCACAACAUAUAAUUGGAGCCGGAUUCAUAAACAUUUAUGAUUCUCUUUUUUAUUGUACUUCGUCCAUAGUAAUAAACUGGCUGCGAUUGACAAGUCAGGAAGCUUUAUUUCUUUUUCAGUGGCACUCUCCAGAAUAUGACUGAAAGAAUGUGGAAUCCAAUAUUAUGUUUCAUAGUUUUAUAAUAUUAUAAUUUUGGUUUUACUCUACAGAUCUUAUGGAUGCACAAUAACGAAAAAAGCUUGAAAAAGAUAGUGAAUAACUGAACAUAAUAAUCCUUUAAUUAUUUAAAUCAUUUACAUUAUGAAAAAUAGUCAAGCUAUUCUUAAUUUUAUAUGAAAGUUUAAUUGCUCUUCCUUAGAAAUUAGAAUACCGUGCUUCUUGUCUUAUUUUUAUUAUAUUUUUAUUGAUUAAUGAGUAGGCCAAGAUUCUAGUUCGAAUAUUCAAAUUUGAGUAUGGUUUGAUUGAUAUUUGAACUGAAUCAAAUCGAUCUCAAGUAUUAUAUCUUUUUCACUGAGUCGAGCUCGAGCUCUCAAAUCGAAAUUUGAGUCCGAAUCGAGUUCAAGCUUGUACAUAUUCGGCUCGAUCCAUUUGCACCCCUAUACAGAACCACUAACUAAAGUGGGGGAGUAAUUUUUGAUAUAUUUCAACUAUUGCAUUUUCCUAUCACUGGAGUUGUAUAUGAUUCUUAUAGGCCAAGCUAGACCGGGUAUCAACUCUAAUAACCUUCCCCCACAAACUAUAAUUAUAUUAAGAGUUCGUUUGAUUAGGGAUAAUUUAAUAUAAAAAAAUAAAUUUUAUAUCAGAUUACUAUGUUUAGUAUGAAAAAUGAAAGAGAGAGAUGGUAAAAAAACUGAUGGAUCCAUAUUUAUUUUUUAGAUAGAUUGAGAAGGUAAAACAAAUGUCAUGGAAGGUUGGUAUUUGAUAAAUUUUUUAAUGGUGAUAAUCCAUAUUUAAUAAAAAUAUCUCCAAUUUAGCUGCAUAUAUAAUCAUUGAAUUUAUUUUGAUAUCUUUUCAAAUUUAUUUAAUAAAGAGCCUUUACAAAAAAAAAUUAAGAUGGAUAUGGCAUUAUGCAAAGGGUUAUGUGAUUAUAAUCAUUAUAUAAAAAUUAAUUAAAAAUGAUAAUAUUAUCCUCAUAUUAAAAAUUAUUUUAUAUUGAAGAGUAUAUUUAUAAAUUUAAUCAUAUUUCUAUAUAAAUUUAUCUUCAACCAAACAUAGUAAUCUUUUUUCAGUAUCAUUUUUUGAAGUACUUUUUUCACCAACUAAAUAUAGUAAAAAUUAUUUUCAUUCAUAAUUAUUUUUUAGAUAAAUAAUUUUUAAAAAUUGUCAGAUUAUGCCCUAUUUUAAUAUACCCCAACCAAACGGAUCUUAAGAAUUUUGCUAUGGUGCUUCAAAAGAUAUUUUAGUCUUUUUACUGUUUAUAUAUUUUUGAUCAUCUGACUAAACAUAAACCAUUUGGAUUUCAACCUAUUGAAGUGCUAAUGUGCAUGGUUGGUAUAGUAAAUAUUUCAAAAAUUAAGAUUAUUUCAAUAUUAAAUUGAUGAUAAAUUUUAUAAUUAAAUUAAAUUUUUUUUCUCCAAGAACUCCAGGGCCAUCGAAAGGCAGAGAAGGGCCGGGGGGGAUGGAGAGAGGAGAGGUGUGGACAAAGGGUGGUGGAGUUGUGGGCACAAGUAGGGGUGGUUGGGGGGUGGCGUGGAGCUGCAGGUGUUGCCGAGGGGGGGGCACAGACUUCAAGUGGGGGACCAGUGGGCGGGUAGACAAGUCACGGAUGGCAGGAGGGAGGGGAUGUGGAGAAGCCACAGACGGAGGAAGAUGGAGGAGAAACGGAUGGAGGGAGUAGAGGAGUUGCGAGUGGCACUAGAGGAGGGAUGGGUGCGGAGAAGUCGCAGAUAAGAGGCAAAGCUGGGAGGAGAGAAGGAAGAAAGAAAAAAUAAUAUAAAAUAUUAUUUUUUUAAAAAAUAAAAUAUAUAAAAAUAAUAAUAUAUAAGAUUAUAAAAUAUUUUUUAUAAUAAAAUAUUAUAGAAGAGUAUCGCAGUAAAAAUCUUAUAUUAAUUAAAGAAAAAAAUUAUCUAUAGAUCCCUCGAUUGACUUGAACUUAUUUUUAAGUUCCUAAACCUCACAGGUGGAAUAAAAUUUUCCUAAACUGUACAGAGAGUUGUUUUUAGAUCCUUGCAGUCCAAAAAACACACCUUCUACCAUUUAAGUCUAGAAAAAUGAUAAAAAUAUCCUUGAAUGGUUUUGGAGGGAAGGUUAAUGCUACCCGGGAUGUCGUCCUAUCUUCCACUAGAUCCAUCCCAGCCUCGCAUCGGGAGCUCCUCCAAAGCACCCCCCUCCGAUUCUCGACAAAGAUCGGAGCUCGUAGGCUGAUCCGAAAAUCAGAGUAAGUCGUAGAGAGCGGACCAUGCGGGCUCUUCCGGGGAAGGAAAAGUGCCGUCUUUAGCCCCGAAGAAAGGAAGAAGAAGCUCUCGCCGAAGGAGUUGUGCGCCAUCCAAUCCAAAGACCAGCUCAUUCAUCUAGCUGUCUGCCCGGUUAACUCUUCAUUUUUAUUUGUAUGAACUCGAAUUUAUAGCUCCAAUUCUGUGCUGGAGAGAAGAAAGCUUUGGCGGAUGAUUCUGCCUCAUCAGUGUCAGGUCAGCCUCUGUUGUCGAAUCGGUUCUAUAAACACCUCCUUCUCCUAGAAGAAAGGGUAAUAUCUUUCUCCACCCAAAACCCUCGGAAGCGAAAGCUUUCAGUGUAAAUGUGUCUAUCAUUUUUGUAAGGAGUUGGGGCACAUGAACUUCAAUUGUCCUGCCAAAAGAAAGAAAUCAUUCUCACCUUGUUCAUCCCCAACUUAGGGUACUGCUACGCUUGCAGUGACUCUUCUCCGGAUGUUGUCUCUAUUGUCAUUGGGUUGUCCUCCGUACCAUCUCCAUUUGUUCGGUGCAAAAAUAAUCUGGAACUCUUGAAAAAUCCAACAUUGCAAUUGACUCUGACCAUCGACGCGCUAGCUAAUCAUGAGGUGUGGGAUGAAGGUGAUGCAAGAGGUGUUCGAGGCGGCGAAGGGGCAGCUCAAGGUGGUGAAGAGGGUUGAGAUGGGGAUCGACAACAUUGAUCUCCAAGCCACCACCAAACACGGGUGCCUCAUCGUCAACAUGCCCACCGCCAACACCAUCGCGAUAGUGGAACAUGGGAUCACGCUCGUAGCUCCCGCUUGCGCUCCCUUUUUCCUCUUGUUAUUUUUCUUUCCUCUCUCGAUUUUUUUCUCUAUCUUUUUUCUCCUUUUUUAGGUCCUCAUCAUCCUCCUUCGGACUUGCCUCCUUCCCUCUUCGCUCACUGUUGCACUUUUGUUCCCUUCACCACCUUAAAGCCCAAGCUACUCUGACAAAGAAAUCUAUGUUCCAGAAUGUUUUUCUCUUUUUAAUGAAUUAUUUGUUUUUGAGGAAAAAAAUUUGAUUUUUUGCCCUUUUUUUUUGAAAUUUGGUUUUUGAUGUUAGAAGUCAUUUAAGUUUUGAUUUUCUUUUUAAUCUCUUAUUUUUGAUGGGUAAUACCCAGUUUCUUUCAAUAUUUCACUACUGUUCAUCUUUGGUUUAGUUUUUUUUCUCUCCCACAAGUGGAAGAAUUUGGUUAAAGAAUUAAUCUGAUUUUUGUACUAUUAUCUUUUGUUUUUUAUUGUUCAUGCAUUUUUUUCAAACGAUUCAUAUCCUCUUGAAAUUUACUUUUAGUUAUAGAGAAUAUCUUUCGGGUACAAAUUUUCACUUUUAGUUACAUAGUCUUCAAUUUUGAUUACACAGUAUCGUAUGUAGUUACAUAUUAUUCCGUUUUGAUUACACGGCAAUCAUCUGUGGUUACAUAAUUUUUUUUGUGGUUACAGGAUAGUAGUUUGGUCCAAUGACCUAGUUAUGUUUCACAAUAGUAAGUUCAUGAUCUAUUACUCAACUAGAUAUUGAAAGAUGAUGUAAGAUGAUCUAUCAAAAUCAUUUAGGACAAAAAUAAUUGAUGAACAUUUUUAAAUACUUUGAACUAUUAUGCAGAUUCUUGACGCAUUCAUGGAACUCUUUGGACCUAGUGAUAUUACAAGACUACAAGCAAAAUAUGGUGCUAAUCAGUAUGGAGAAGGUGGAGGGGAGACUACUGUUUAUCCAAAUGGAGAAGGUGCGGACGAGACUGUUGCUAAUGGAGAUGGGGCUAGUACUAUGGCGGAUCAAAUUUAAUAUAACUUUUACUUAUAGAUGAAUAAUUGAGAUUAAGUUGUGUAUCUAAAGUUAUAUUAUUGUUCUUCGUUUACUUGAGUAUAAAAAGUGGUUUGAUUAUGGUUUGGUUAAAAAGAGAUUUAUUAAAAAUUGUUUGAUUAUGAUUUGCUUAAAUAGGAGCCAGUUCUCUGGUUACAUAAUUUUUAUAAUUAGUUGCAUAGGUUUAUAUUUAGGUUACACAAAUAUAUACCU
Molecule: long non-coding RNA, 5324 nt
Filed under: Elaeis guineensis (African oil palm)
Lineage: Eukaryota; Viridiplantae; Streptophyta; Magnoliopsida; Arecales; Arecaceae
Description: long non-coding RNA (EGUI_LNC031883)
Source: RNAcentral